This 1589-nucleotide long non-coding RNA is filed under the name Homo sapiens (human). RNAcentral's name for it is "non-protein coding lnc-RGPD2-2:1". The record is from RNAcentral. Lineage: Eukaryota; Metazoa; Chordata; Mammalia; Primates; Hominidae.
UGGCUUCCCGCAAGCUGCCUGUUUUAACACUCUUUGUGAUUUAUUUCAAUCUCAUCUUUUACAAAGGUACGGCAAUUUGUUCCAUUUUCCUGCUUCCUUCUCCUCUUCCUCCUUCUUCUAAGAUGGCAGAGAGAAACUUUCUUACAGGUCCCAGCAACACUGCCGUAUAGCUUAGAAGACUGGAGAUAUUUAUUCUCAAUGUACUCAGUUUACUUUCCAACUGGAGCAUUAUUUGAAAGACGGUCUGCCAGCAUUCAACUGAACAGACACAAAUGCAGGUAUGAAUAGUGAGGGGAGAGAGUGGUUUGAAGGCUGGGGUUGCUGUCAGGUCUGAUGAACCCUCCAGCACUCGCCAUCAUCGGCUACAAUGUUGAGGAGACUCCAUCACAACCUCAGAUCAAGAGUGUUUCUUUGUUCCUCCAAGCCUUCCAAAGCACUUUAUGGACCUUGUAUUUGGACAACACCUCCAUGAAGCUUGGAAGCCAAUAAGUCACAUCUUCAUUGAACAAUUCAUGAAAUUACAGGGCAGAGGUGAAAUAUGACCUUCGAGGGAAAAGCUGGCGGUGGAGCCCAGAACUUCAUUUUGCUGGGAUGGUUCCCUGCCGUUAUUCUCCUUUCUCACGAAAGGAUCCUGCAGUCAAUUUACGGCAUUUGUAAAUAAAGGCGGCUGUGUCAGCCUCCUGCCUGGAGAAAGGAAGGCAGCACCUUGAAUGCUGAGAGUGUAUCUCAGGCUUACUCUAUACUUCCAUUACAAUAUCUCAGAAGUUAUAACAGAUGAAGAUGGGGCGAGGUGGUCAAGGUAAGACCGGGGUCAGCAGGGCAAUGGCGUGUGAGGAGUUUCUCAUUAGAAAACACAAAUGGGGAUUUGGAUUGGUUGUUUUUCUUGUCUCAGAAAUCUUCUUCAGAAUGACCUCCCCACCCCUGCUUUGUCUUUGAAAGUUUUGCCAUGUUUGAAUUGGCAUACUUACACAUUGUAAUGAUUUUUCUUUCAUCAAUUAAAAACAAAGCUAUUUUUUGGCCAAGUGUCUCCUGAAGCAAAGUUAAGAAACAGAAUAAGAAGGUUUUGAGUCACGCACAAGACUGAAAAUUAGCUAAUAAAAACCCUUUUCCCCCCUAUUUCCUCAAAACUCAGUUCUCAGAAAAACAAUUCUGGAUGCACCCUGUUUACCAGCAAGGUUAAAAGUUCAAGAAAAGAAAGACAUCACAAUAUUUACACUCAGGCAAAUCACUGUUCAUCUACCACGUCUGACCCUGCAGAUUUGGGAGCGGGCCGCUGUCCUGCCUGUCAAAGGGAGAGGAAGCAGUGCCUGUCUGGCUGGCCCUAUAUUUGCUCCUGUUGUCUCACUCUCUGCCACCAGUUUUGUUUUUUGUUGUUUGUUUGUUUUUGUUUAUUUGUUUUUUCUAAGACUGCCGGCAUCCCUUCUUUCUAGAUCGUCUUGUCUUUCUUUUGAUAUUUUAUUUUCAUGGAUAAGAUCGCUAGGACCCCAUCAGAGUAUUUUUCUGAUGGCACGAUGCUACUACUUUCUGAUAUAUUUAUUUCAUUCUCAAUAUUUGAAUCUAUGAAAUAAAAUAAUAGUGAUAAUAGCCAC